RNAcentral lists this long non-coding RNA (1125 nucleotides) under Carassius auratus (goldfish). RNAcentral describes it as "lncRNA (ENSCARG00000057471.1)". The record is from RNAcentral. Lineage: Eukaryota; Metazoa; Chordata; Actinopteri; Cypriniformes; Cyprinidae.
AUGCUGACCUUAAGAGUGUGUUUCCAAAAAAAAAAAACCAGCACAUCAACUUUCCAACACGAGGUAAUAACAUUUUGGACUUUGUUUACACCACACAGAGAGGAGCUUACAAAGCCCUCCCCCAUCCCCCACCUCGGAGCUUCAGACCACAUCACUGUUAUGCUAAUGCCUGCAUACAGACCACUCAUUAAAGUCGCCAAACCAGUUUACAAACAGAUUAAAGUGUGGCCAGAAGGAUCAUCAGAUGUUCUUCAGGACUGCUUCAACACAACUGACUGGGACAUGUUUAAACAGGCUGCCACAUGCAAUAACACCACUGACCUCCAGGAGUACUCAGAGACUGUCACUGCCUACAUCAAUAAGUGUAUUGAUGAUGUAACAGUCACAAAAACCAUCACUGUCCGGGCCAACCAGAAGCCAUGGAUGACAGGGGAGGUCUACAGACUCAUGAAGACACAGAACGCUGCCUUCAGAGCUGCAGAUGAGGUGGGCCUGAGAACAGCUAGGGCCAACCUGUCCCGUGGGAUCAGAGAGGCUAAGAGACAGCACUCCAGGAGGAUAGCUCAUCAAUUCAGUGACAGCAGAGACACUAGGAACCUGUGGCAGGGGAUACAGACCAUUACGGACUACAAGCCCCCACCCCGGACCUGUGACAACAACAUCUCUCUGCUGAACGAGCUGAACACCUUCUUCGCUCGCUUUGAGCAACAAAACAGCACCACUGCACAGAAGACUCCACCUCCUCCCGGUGACCAGGUGAUGACGCUGACCCCAGACAGCGUGAGGAGAUCCUUCAGCAGGAUCAAUACACGCAAAGCUCCGGGUCCUGACAACAUCCCAGGGCGUGCACUGAGAGACUGUGCAGCAGAACUCACUGAUGUAUUCACAGACAUUUUCAACAUAUCACUGAGUCAGGCUGUUGUUCCCACAUGCUUUAAAACCACUACCAUCAUCCCAGUCCCAAAGAAGCCAUCUCCAUCCUGCUUCAAUGACUACCGUCCUGUUGCACUUACCCCCAUUCUCAUGAAGUGCUUUGAACGGCUAGUCAUGCACCACAUCAAGUCUGCCCCCCCCCUCCCUGAACCCCUUCCAGUUUGCAUAUCAGUCCAACCGGUCGACCGAUGA